CACUCCUACGGGAGGCAGCAGUGGGGAAUUUUGGACAAUGGGCGAAAGCCUGAUCCAGCAAUGCCGCGUGAGUGAAGAAGGCCUUCGGGUUGUAAAGCUCUUUUGUCAGGGAAGAAACGGUGAAAGCUAAUAUCUUUUGCUAAUGACGGUACCUGAAGAAUAAGCACCGGCUAACUACGUGCCAGCAGCCGCGGUAAUACGUAGGGUGCAAGCGUUAAUCGGAAUUACUGGGCGUAAAGCGUGCGCAGGCGGUUUUGUAAGUCUGAUGUGAAAUCCCCGGGCUCAACCUGGGAAUUGCAUUGGAGACUGCAAGUCUAGAAUCUGGCAGAGGGGGGUAGAAUUCCACGUGUAGCAGUGAAAUGCGUAGAUAUGUGGAGGAACACCGAUGGCGAAGGCAGCCCCCUGGGUCAAGAUUGACGCUCAUGCACGAAAGCGUGGGGAGCAAACAGGAUUAGAAACCCCAGUAGUCC
This 470-nucleotide ribosomal RNA is filed under the name uncultured organism. RNAcentral describes it as "partial 16S ribosomal RNA". It matches the Rfam family "Bacterial small subunit ribosomal RNA", at positions 334 to 796 of the family's 1533-position model. The record is from RNAcentral.